GAUGAACGCUAGCUACAGGCUUAACACAUGCAAGUCGAGGGGUAACGAGAGGAAAGCUUGCUUUCCUUGUCGACGACCGGCGCACGGGUGAGUAAUGCGUAUCCAACCUGCCCCCAACUAAGGAAUAACCUUGCGAAAGUAAGACUAAUACCUUAUAAUUUCCUCAGAUGUCAUCUGACGAGGAAUAAAGAUUUAUCGGUUGUGGAUGGGGAUGCGUCUGAUUAGCUUGUUGGCGGGGUAACGGCCCACCAAGGCAACGAUCAGUAGGGGUUCUGAGAGGAAGAUCCCCCACAUUGGAACUGAGACACGGUCCAAACUCCUACGGGAGGCAGCAGUGAGGAAUAUUGGUCAAUGGGCGGAAGCCUGAACCAGCCAAGUAGCGUGCAGGAUGACGGCCCUAUGGGUUGUAAACUGCUUUUUUACAGGAAUAAAGUUAGCCACGUGUGGUUAUUUGUAGGUACUGUAUGAAUAAGGACCGGCUAAUUCCGUGCCAGCCGCCGCCGUAA
RNAcentral lists this ribosomal RNA (506 nucleotides) under uncultured bacterium. RNAcentral's name for it is "partial 16S ribosomal RNA". It matches the Rfam family "Bacterial small subunit ribosomal RNA", at positions 28 to 523 of the family's 1533-position model. The record is from RNAcentral.